This 497-nucleotide ribosomal RNA is filed under the name uncultured bacterium. RNAcentral describes it as "partial 16S ribosomal RNA". It matches the Rfam family "Bacterial small subunit ribosomal RNA", at positions 28 to 507 of the family's 1533-position model. The record is from RNAcentral.
GAUGAACGCUGGCGGCGUGCCUAAUACAUGCAAGUCGAGCGAACGGACGCGAAGCUUGCUUCUCUGAUGUUAGCGGCGGACGGGUGAGUAACACGUGGAUAACCUACCUAUCAGACUGGGAUCACUUCGGGAAACCGUAGCUAAUACCGGAUAAUAUUCUGAACCGCAUGGUUCAAAAGUGAAAGACGGUCUUGCUGUCUCUUCUCGAUGGAUCCGCGCUGCAUUAGCUAGUUGGUAAGGUAACGGCUUACCAAGGCAACGAUGCAUAGCCGACCUGAGAGGGUGAUCGGCCACACUGGAACUGAGACACGGACCAUACUCCUACGAGAGGCAGCAGUAGGGAAUCUUCCGCAAAGGGCGAAAGCCUGACGGAGCAACGCCGCGUGAGUGAUGAAGGUCUUCGGAUCGUAAAACUCUGUUAUUAGGUAAGAACAUAUGUGUAAGUAACUGUGCACAUCUUGACGGUACCUAAUCAGAAAGCCACGGCUAACUACGUG